CACCGCGGUUAUACGAGAGACCCGAGUUGACAGACAUCGGCGUAAAGAGUGGUUAAGAUGUAUUUACACUAAAGCCGAACGCCUUCAAAGCUGUUAUACGCAUCCGAAGGUAAGAAGUUCAUUUACGAAGGUAGCUUUACGAUAUCUGAACCCACGAAAGCUAUGACA
Molecule: ribosomal RNA, 168 nt
Filed under: Cookeolus japonicus (longfinned bullseye)
Lineage: Eukaryota; Metazoa; Chordata; Actinopteri; Priacanthiformes; Priacanthidae
Description: partial 12S ribosomal RNA
Source: RNAcentral